This 468-nucleotide ribosomal RNA is filed under the name uncultured bacterium. Its description in RNAcentral is "partial 16S ribosomal RNA". It matches the Rfam family "Bacterial small subunit ribosomal RNA", at positions 28 to 507 of the family's 1533-position model. The record is from RNAcentral.
GACGAACGCUGGCGUCGUGCUUAACACAUGCAAGUCGAACGGAAAGGCCCUGCUUUUGUGGGGUGCUCGAGUGGCGAACGGGUGAGUAACACGUGAGUAACCUGCCCUUGACUUUGGGAUAACUUCAGGAAACUGGGGCUAAUACCUGAUAGGAGCUCCUGCUGCAUGGUGGGGGUUGGAAAGUUUCGGCGGUUGGGGAUGGACUCGCGGCUUAUCAGCUUGUUGGUGGGGUAGUGGCUUACCAAGGCUUUGACGGGUGGCCGGCCUGGGAGGGUGAACGGCCACAUGGGGACUGAGAUACGGCCCAGACUCCUACGGGAGGCAGCAGUGGGGAAUAUUGCACAAUGGGCGGAAGCCUGAUGCAGCAACGCCGCGUGCGGGAUGAAGGCCUUCGGGUUGUAAACCGCUUUCGCCUGUGACGAAGCGUGAGUGACGGUAAUGGGUAAAGAAGCACCGGCUAACUACGUG